RNAcentral lists this ribosomal RNA (205 nucleotides) under uncultured bacterium. RNAcentral describes it as "partial 16S ribosomal RNA". It matches the Rfam family "Bacterial small subunit ribosomal RNA", at positions 568 to 773 of the family's 1533-position model. The record is from RNAcentral.
UACGUAGGCGGUUUGUUAAGUUGGGUGUGAAAUCCCUCGGCUCAACCGAGGAACUGCGCCCAAACUGGCAGACUAGAGGGAGACAGAGGUGAGCGGAACUUAGGGUGGAGCGGUGAAAUGCGUUGAUAUCCUAAGGAACACCAGUAGCGAAAGCGGCUCACUGGGUCUCUUCUGACGCUGAGGUACGAAAGCUGGGGGAGCGAAG